Molecule: ribosomal RNA, 620 nt
Filed under: uncultured archaeon
Lineage: Archaea
Description: bacterial SSU rRNA
Rfam family: Archaeal small subunit ribosomal RNA
Source: RNAcentral
CAUGCGAGUAGAGAAUUAGAUUCUUUGCGAACUGCUCAGUAACACGUGGAUAACCUGCCCUAUGCUCUGGAAUAACCUCGGGAAACUGAGAAUAAUACCGGAUAGAUCACAACGCCUGGAACGGUGUGUGGUUGAAAGAUUACGGCAUAGGAUGGGUCUGCGGCGUAUCAGGUUGUAGGGGGUGUAACGGACCUCCUAGCCAUCGACGCGUACGGGUGUUGGGAGACAUAGCCCGGAGAUGGAUUCUGAGACACGAAUCCAGACCCUACGGGGGUGCAGCAGGCGCGAAAACUUCACACUGCAGGAAACUGUGAUGGAGGGAACUCCAAGUGCCGCGCACUUAGUGUGCGCUUUUUGUUGACUUAUUAAUCGGGUCAUGAAUAAGGCCUGGGAAAAGAACCGGGUGCCAAGCCGGCCGGGGUAAUUACCGGGCAGGCUCAAGUUGGUCUUCCGCUUUUUUUGGGGCCUAAAACCGUUCGUGUAGCCUGGUUUUGGAAAACCCUGGGGUAAAUCCACCCGGCUUACUGGGUGGAAUUUCGGCAGAAUGCCAGACAUAGGACCGGAAGGUGUGGUACUCUAGGGGUAGGGUAAAUCUGUCUCUUAAGACCCAGUUCGAAGGC